GAUUUUCGCAAUGCCCGAAAGGGUCUGACCUAUCCCUGGAGGAAGCACGGGCUAAGUUCGCGCCAGCAGCCGCGGUAAGACGAACCGUGCGAACGUUGUUCGGAAUCACUGGGCUUAAAGGGCGCGUAGGCGGGCCGCAAAGUCAGGGGUGAAAUCCUCCAGCUCAACUGGAGAACUGCCUUUGAUACUGGCGGCCUGGAGUAAGGUAGGGGCAUGCGGAACUGAUGGUGGAGCGGUGAAAUGUGUUGAUAUCAUCAGGAACUCCGGUGGCGAAAGCGGCGUGCUGGACCUUUACUGACGCUGAGGCGCGAAAGCCAGAGGAGCAAACGGGAUUAGAUACCCCGGUAGUCCUGGCCCUAAACGAUGGGCACUAAGUAGAGGGGUUUU
RNAcentral lists this ribosomal RNA (387 nucleotides) under uncultured Planctomycetota bacterium. RNAcentral describes it as "bacterial SSU rRNA". It matches the Rfam family "Bacterial small subunit ribosomal RNA", at positions 447 to 832 of the family's 1533-position model. The record is from RNAcentral. Lineage: Bacteria; Pseudomonadati; Planctomycetota.